GAUGAACGCUGGCGGCGUGCCUAAUACAUGCAAGUCGAGCGAACGGACGAGAAGCUUGCUUUUCUGAUGUUAGCGGCGGACGGGUGAGUAACACGUGGAUAACCUACCUAUAAGACUGGGAUAACUUCGGGAAACCGGAUCUAAUACCGGAUAAUAUUUUGAACCGCAUGGUUCAAAAGUGAAAGACGGUCUUGCUGUCACUUAUAGAUGGAUCCUCGCUGCAUUAGCUAGUUGGUAAGGUAAAGGCUUACCAAGGCAACGAUGCAUAGCCGACCUGAGAGGGUGAUCGGUCACACUGGAACUGAGACACGGUCCAGACUCCUACGGGAGGCAGCAGUAGGGAAUAUUGCGCAAUGGGCGAAAGCCUGAUGGAGCAACGCCGCGUGAGUGAUGAAGGUCUUCGGAUCGUAAAACUCUGUUAGUAGGGAAGAACAUAUGUGUAAGUAAAUGUGCACAUCUUGACGGUACCUAAUGAGAAAGCAACGGCUAACUACGUG
RNAcentral lists this ribosomal RNA (497 nucleotides) under uncultured bacterium. RNAcentral describes it as "partial 16S ribosomal RNA". It matches the Rfam family "Bacterial small subunit ribosomal RNA", at positions 28 to 507 of the family's 1533-position model. The record is from RNAcentral.